Molecule: ribosomal RNA, 379 nt
Filed under: uncultured Anoxybacillus sp.
Lineage: Bacteria; Bacillati; Bacillota; Bacilli; Caryophanales; Anoxybacillaceae
Description: bacterial SSU rRNA
Rfam family: Bacterial small subunit ribosomal RNA
Source: RNAcentral
UCGGCGGUUCCCCUUCGGGGGACGAGGGUGACAGGUGGUGCAUGGUUGUCGUCAGCUCGUGUCGUGAGAUGUUGGGUUAAGUCCCGCAACGAGCGCAACCCUCGACCUUAGUUGCCAGCAUUCAGUUGGGCACUCUAAGGUGACUGCCGGCUAAAAGUCGGAGGAAGGUGGGGAUGACGUCAAAUCAUCAUGCCCCUUAUGACCUGGGCUACACACGUGCUACAAUGGGCGGUACAAAGGGUCGCGAACCCGCGAGGGGGAGCCAAUCCCAAAAAGCCGCUCUCAGUUCGGAUUGCAGGCUGCAACUCGCCUGCAUGAAGCCGGAAUCGCUAGUAAUCGCGGAUCAGCAUGCCCGCGGUCGAAUACGUUCCCGGGCCUU